UACGUAGGGUGCAAGCGUUGUCCGGAAUUAUUGGGCGUAAAGAGCUCGUAGGCGGUCUGUCGCGUCUGCUGUGAAAACUCAGGGCUUAACCCUGAGCUUGCAGUGGGUACGGGCAGACUAGAGUGCGGUAGGGGGAGACUGGAAUUCCUGGUGUAGCGGUGAAAUGCGCAGAUAUCGGGGAGGAACACCGGUGGCGAAGGCGGUUCUCUGGGCCUUACCUGACGCUGAGGAGCGAAAGCGUGGGGAGCGAACAGG
RNAcentral lists this ribosomal RNA (255 nucleotides) under uncultured bacterium. Its description in RNAcentral is "partial 16S ribosomal RNA". It matches the Rfam family "Bacterial small subunit ribosomal RNA", at positions 524 to 776 of the family's 1533-position model. The record is from RNAcentral.